RNAcentral lists this ribosomal RNA (372 nucleotides) under uncultured organism. Its description in RNAcentral is "partial 16S ribosomal RNA". It matches the Rfam family "Bacterial small subunit ribosomal RNA", at positions 527 to 896 of the family's 1533-position model. The record is from RNAcentral.
GGAGGGGGCAAGCGUUGUUCGGAAUUACUGGGCGUAAAGGGCGCGUAGGCGGUAUGCCAUGUCAGGGGUGAAAGGCCUGGGCUCAACCCAGGAACUGCCUUUGAAACUGGCAAACUAGAGUCCGAUAGAGGAUGGUGGAAUUCCCAGUGUAGAGGUGAAAUUCGUAGAUAUUGGGAAGAACACCAGUGGCGAAGGCGGCCAUCUGGAUCGGCACUGACGCUGAGGCGCGAAAGCGUGGGGAGCAAACAGGGAUUAGAUACCCUGGUAGUCCACGCCGUAAACGAUGUGUGCUAGACGUUGGGGGUCUUAGACCCUGGGUGUCGUAGCUAACGCGUUAAGCACACCGCCUGGGGGAGUACGGCCGCAAGGUUA